AAAAGAAACCAACAGGGAUUGCCCUAGUAACGGCGAGUGAAGCGGCAACAGCUCAAAUUUGAAAGCUGGCCUUCGGGUCCGCAUUGUAAUUUGUAGAGGAUGCUUUGGGUGAAACGCCAGUCUAAGUUCCUUGGAACAGGACGUCAUAGAGGGUGAGAAUCCCGUAUGUGACUGGAAAUGUUAACCUAUGUAAAGCUCCUUCGACGAGUCGAGUUGUUUGGGAAUGCAGCUCUAAAUGGGAGGUAAAUUUCUUCUAAAGCUAAAUAUUGGCGAGAGACCGAUAGCGCACAAGUAGAGUGAUCGAAAGAUGAAAAGCACUUUGGAAAGAGAGUUAAAAAGCACGUGAAAUUGUUGAAAGGGAAGCGCUUGCAAUCAGACUUGUUUAAACUGUUCGGCCGGUCUUCUGACCGGUUUACUCAGUUUGGACAGGCCAGCAUCAGUUUCGGCGGCCGGAUAAAGGCUCUGGGAAUGUGGCCUUCACUUCGGUGAAGGUGUUAUAGCCCAGGGUGUAAUACGGCCAGCCGGGACUGAG
This 532-nucleotide ribosomal RNA is filed under the name Aureobasidium pullulans. Its description in RNAcentral is "partial large subunit ribosomal RNA". It matches the Rfam family "Eukaryotic large subunit ribosomal RNA", at positions 57 to 597 of the family's 3401-position model. Lineage: Eukaryota; Fungi; Ascomycota; Dothideomycetes; Dothideales; Saccotheciaceae. The record is from RNAcentral.